GGAUGAACGCUGGCGGCGUGCCUAAUACAUGCAAGUCGAACGAAGUACUUGUACUGAGUGGCGAACGGGUGAGUAACACGUGGGUAACCUGCCCAGAAGUAGGGGAUAACACCUGGAAACAGAUGCUAAUACCGUAUAACAGAGAAACCGCAUGGUUUUCUUUAAAAGAUGUCUGUAUCACUUCUGGAUGGACCCGCGGCGUAUUAGCUAGUUGGUGAGGUAAAGGCUCACCAAGGCAGUGAUACGUAGCCGACCUGAGAGGGUAAUCGGCCACAUUGGGACUGAGACACGGCCCAGACUCCUACGGGAGGCAGCAGUAGGGAAUCUUCCACAAUGGACGCAAGUCUGAUGGAGCAACGCCGCGUGAGUGAAGAAGGGUUUCGGCUCGUAAAGCUCUGUUGUUAAAGAAGAACGUGGGUAAGGUAAUUUACCCAGUGACGGUAUUUAACCAGAAAGCCACGGCUAACUACGUGCCAGCAGCCGCGGUAAUACGUAGGUGGCAAGCGUUAUCCGGAUUUAUUGGGCGUAAAGCGAGCGCAGGCGGUCUUUUAAGUCUAAUGUGAAAGCCUUCGGCUCAACCGAAGAAGUGCAUUGGAAACUGGGAGACUUGAGUGCAGAAGAGGACAGUGGAACUCCAUGUGUAGCGGUGAAAUGCGUAGAUAUAUGGAAGAACACCAGUGGCGAAGGCGGCUGUCUGGUCUGCAACUGACGCUGAGGCUCGAAAGCAUGGGUAGCGAACAGGAUUAGAUACCCUGGUAGUCCAUGCCGUAAACGAUGAUUACUAAGUGUUGGAGGGUUUCCCCCUUCAGUGCUGCAGCUAACGCAUUAAGUAAUCCGCCUGGGGAGUACGACCGCAAGGUUGAAACUCAAAAGAAUUGACGGGGGCCCGCACAAGCGGUGGAGCAUGUGGUUUAAUUCGAAGCUACGCGAAGAACCUUACCAGGUCUUGACAUCUUCUGACAGUCUAAGAGAUUAGAGGUUCCCUUCGGGGACAGAAUGACAGGUGGUGCAUGGUUGUCGUCAGCUCGUGUCGUGAGAUGUUGGGUUAAGUCCCGCAACGAGCGCAACCCUUAUUACUAGUUGCCAGCAUUAAGUUGGGCACUCUAGUGAGACUGCCGGUGACAAACCGGAGGAAGGUGGGGACGACGUCAAAUCAUCAUGCCCCUUAUGACCUGGGCUACACACGUGCUACAAUGGAUGGUACAACGAGUCGCGAGACCGCGAGGUUAAGCUAAUCUCUUAAAACCAUUCUCAGUUCGGACUGUAGGCUGCAACUCGCCUACACGAAGUCGGAAUCGCUAGUAAUCGCGGAUCAGCAUGCCGCGGUGAAUACGUUCCCGGGCCUUGCACUCACUGC
This 1357-nucleotide ribosomal RNA is filed under the name uncultured bacterium. RNAcentral's name for it is "bacterial SSU rRNA". It matches the Rfam family "Bacterial small subunit ribosomal RNA", at positions 27 to 1393 of the family's 1533-position model. RNAcentral also lists the same sequence under 1 other name. The record is from RNAcentral.